UACGUAGGGGGCCAGCGUUGCUCGGAAUUACUGGGCGUAAAGGGUUCGUAGGCGGUGCGGCAAGUUGGGAGUGAAAUCUCUGGGCUUAACUCAGGGGCUGCUUUCAAAACUGCCGCGCUCGAGUGCGAGAGAGGUCAGUGGAAUUGCAGGUGUAGCGGUGAAAUGCGUAGAUAUCUGCAGGAACACCCGUGGCGAAGGCGGCUGACUGGAUCGCAACUGACGCUGAGGAGCGAAAGCAUGGGGAGCGAACAGG
RNAcentral lists this ribosomal RNA (253 nucleotides) under uncultured bacterium. RNAcentral describes it as "partial 16S ribosomal RNA". It matches the Rfam family "Bacterial small subunit ribosomal RNA", at positions 524 to 776 of the family's 1533-position model. The record is from RNAcentral.